This 495-nucleotide ribosomal RNA is filed under the name uncultured bacterium. RNAcentral's name for it is "bacterial SSU rRNA". It matches the Rfam family "Bacterial small subunit ribosomal RNA", at positions 1011 to 1503 of the family's 1533-position model. The record is from RNAcentral.
GCCGUUCUUUCGGGACGCCCCAGACAGGUGGUGCAUGGUUGUCGUCAGCUCGUGUCGUGAGAUGUUGGGUUAAGUCCCGCAACGAGCGCAACCCUUAUCUUAAGUAGCCAGCAGGUAAAGCUGGGCACUCUUGGGAGACUGCCAGGGAUAACCUGGAGGAAGGUGGGGAUGACGUCAAAUCAUCAUGCCCCUUAUGAUCUGGGCUACACACGUGCUACAAUGGCGUAAACAAAGAGAGGCGAAAGGGCGACCUGGAGCAAACCUCAAAAAUAACGUCUCAGUUCGGACUGCAGGCUGCAACCCGCCUGCACGAAGCCGGAAUCGCUAGUAAUCGCGGAUCAGAAUGCCGCGGUGAAUACGUUCCCGGGUCUUGUACACACCGCCCGUCACACCAUGGGAGUCAGUAACGCCCGAAGUCAGUGACCCAACCUGAAAAGGAGGGAGCUGCCGAAGGCGGGACGGAUAACUGGGGUGAAGUCGUAACAAGGUAACCGU